AAGCGGUGGAGCAUGUGGUUAAUUCGAAGCAACGCGAAGAACCUUACCAGGUCUUGACAUCCCUGACAACCCGAGAGAUCGGGCGUUCCCCUUCGGGGGGACAGGGUGACAGGUGGUGCAUGGUUGUCGUCAGCUCGUGUCGUGAGAUGUUGGGUUAAGUCCCGCAACGAGCGCAACCCUCGACCUUAGUUGCCAGCAUUCAGUUGGGCACUCUAAGGUGACUGCCGGCUAAAAGUCGGAGGAAGGUGGGAUGACGUCAAAUCAUCAUGCCCCUUAUGACCUGGGCUACACACGUGCUACAAUGGUUGGUACAACGAGUUGCGAGUCGGUGACGGCGAGCUAAUCUCUUAAAGCCAAUCUCAGUUCGGAUUGUAGGCUGCAACUCGCCUACAUGAAGUCGGAAUCGCUAGUAAUCGCGGAUCAGCACGCCGCGGUGAAUACGUUCCCGGGCCUU
Molecule: ribosomal RNA, 454 nt
Filed under: uncultured Streptococcus sp.
Lineage: Bacteria; Bacillati; Bacillota; Bacilli; Lactobacillales; Streptococcaceae
Description: bacterial SSU rRNA
Rfam family: Bacterial small subunit ribosomal RNA
Source: RNAcentral